AACGAACGCUGGCGGCGUGGUUUAGGCAUGCAAGUCGAGCGCGAAAGUUCCUUCGGGGACGAGUAGAGCGGCGAAAGGGUGAGUAAUGCUUGGGUAACUUACCCCUCGGAUUGGAAUAGCCACUGGAAACGGUGGGUAAUGCCAAAUGGUCUCGAGAGUGCUGCGGCAUUCACGAGUAAAGCGGGCUUCGGCUCGCACCGGGGGAGAGGCCCGAGUCCUACCAGCUUGUUGGUGAGGUAACGGCUCACCAAGGCGAAGACGGGUAGCCGGACUGAGAGGUUGGCCGGCCACACUGGCACUGAGACACUGGCCAGACUCCUACGGGAGGCUGCAGUCGAGAAUCUUCCGCAAUGGACGAAAGUCUGACGGAGCGACGCCGCGUGGAGGAAGAAGGCCUUCGGGUUGUAAACUCCUGUCAGAGCUUAAGAAACCCUGGUGGUUAAUACCCAUCAGGCUGACAAAGGGCUCAAAGGAAGCCACAGCUAACUUCGUGCCAGCCGCCGCCGUAACAC
This 512-nucleotide ribosomal RNA is filed under the name uncultured bacterium. RNAcentral describes it as "bacterial SSU rRNA". It matches the Rfam family "Bacterial small subunit ribosomal RNA", at positions 29 to 526 of the family's 1533-position model. The record is from RNAcentral.